This is a long non-coding RNA of Vicia villosa (hairy vetch), 3222 nucleotides long. RefSeq lists it as uncharacterized. Lineage: Eukaryota; Viridiplantae; Streptophyta; Magnoliopsida; Fabales; Fabaceae. The record is from RefSeq and is a predicted model, not a curated record. The transcript is spliced from 3 exons.
CGAGCCCGUUUUCUCCCUCCACAACUCACCGCUUACCGAUUUUUAUUCUUCAUCUUCGUCGUCAUCUUCCAAUAACCCUAAGCCAGACAAGAAAAAUCUCGGAGGAAACACCGUCAGCCAUCGAUUCACCACCGUCAGCCAUCGAUUCUCCCCCAUCACUCAUCAGCCAUCGAUUUUCACUAUUCCACCAUACUCUUUUCCAGUCGUCGGCCUGGAACUCAGAUACUCUAUACAAAGAUUUAUCGAUUUCACCACUGGAAAGAGGAAAUUAAACCUGAUACAGUUGAUGUCUUCGUUGGAAUCUUCGAAGGUAUGUAUACGAAUUCUUCUUUAUUUUGAGCUAUUUUCACUAACUUAUUUGUUCUAUUUGAAUCAGAAGUUUGGAAACAUAGGGAUUUUGGGCUGAGAUUUCUUCGAGUGUGAUUGAGGUGGUUUUGAUAAAAUCUGAGAUUUAUGUUUAAGGAAAAAAACGUUAUCGAAUACAACAGAAGAAGCCUCUGUGGAGGAAAUGUAAUUUCCUUAUAUAAUGAAUUGACGGAUGUCAAUAGUAGAAAAGCUUCCAGUGGAAAUGAGGUGCUCCAAUAUAAGCCACCCUUCUCUAAUGAAGAACAAGAGGAGAGAAGAAUGUCUGACUGGUCUGAUUUAGCUUCAAGUGUAACAUCUGCUGCUGAUAUCCAGGUAUUAUUUUCUUCAGGGUCAUCUUUGUUAGGGUCUUAUGUGAGAAAGGGGACUGGCAUUUUAUUUGAGCACUUAGCAUCCACAUCUGCUUGGAUAUGAUACCUAAUUUUCCAAAGUUCACUUCUUAAAUUAUGUACUUUAGACUUCUCUUCUAGCACUUUAAGUAGUAAUUUCUUGAUUAUCUUUAUGGAGUCUCUUUCUCUUGGGCUUUUUCACAUUUGGUUGAUUGAUAUUGGUAAUGAUUACUUUGAUAGCAGAAUGUCAAUAGUAGCAAACCUUCUCAUCAAAAUAUGGUGGAAGCAAUUGAUUCUCUUUAUGCUUCUUGUUUCAUCUGAUAUUAUGAUUUAGGCUAUCUUCAUUUUGUUUGUUUUUCUAUAUUUUUAUUCAGUUUGUUUAAUCCACCAAAAUUCCUUUACCAAAUCUACUGGAAAGAUGAAUUGUGAAUUCCAAUUCCAACCCACACUUCAACUAGGUUACUCAGUGAGAAUAACAAAAACUAAGAAAUUUUCAAGGUAAAUGGUUAUAUUAUUUUUUUUUAAUCUACUGUCCAACCCACAUGCCAUUAACCACGCACAGGAUUAUAGGAUAUUUUAUUAGUAGUAGUAUUAUAAUGUUUACAGGGACUGAAAUUCUAUCAUUUUUGUUUAGCUCACAUAUAUUUAUUCUACUCUAUGAAUUUAAUGUGUUUAAUUGUGUGUUGCUUUUCACCAGAUGCAUAGUUUCAUAACAUGUCUCUCACAUAAGACAUGAAGUGUAGACCCUGACCAAUUUCACGAUGAGCUGAAAAUUAAUUAUAAUUAAAAGAAUGGUGACUAAAAUAGUUGAGCUAUUAACCCUUAGGUCAAAAGAGUAAGUCAACUCCUCAUAAAGGUAAUUCUUGACACCGCAUUUCUUCUAAAAAAAUCUAAAAGUUUAGCAAAGAUAAAGUAGAUACUUGCAUUGACUUUAAGAAAUUAUGUUGUACCAUUUCUUGAAGGAAUAUGGUUUUAUUAUAAGUUGAUAAUGCAUUAAUUGUUAUAGAAAUGACCGGAGGGAACAUGAUGUUGAGUUUUAUAAAUAUCUUAAUGAAGAUUACUCCAAUAGCUAACUCUGGAAACUAUCUGCUCUAUUUCUUUAAAGAAUAUCUGCCCUGUAUCUUUGAAAAGUAAAUAUGAUAUCUCUAUUUAAAACCAAGUGUGUAAUUUUUGUUGUAUUACUUAGGGGAAUAUGGGAGAAUUUGUUAUGGAGACUAUUAAGGCUAAUUAUAGAGUUAAUUUAGGCAUGCUCAACAUUCAUUUUGCAAUGUAUUUAUUUUAUAUAAGUUUAUGUUGCUCCUUUGUGGUCUUUGACAUAUAUACUAGAUUUAGUGCUUAACUUUGGUGAAACUUUUGCUAUAAUAUUGCUAUUUGACAACAAUACUAUUGCCCUCAUGUUCAUAUUCUUUAUUCAUGAUGGGAGCUUUUAAGUUAUCAUGCUUUUUUACUUUUAGAAUAUUUUAUAUUUGUUUUGAUUAACUAUUAGUAUUUAAUAAUUAUUGGUUGAGUGCUGUUUUGAAAGCCAAUAAUAUUGACGUUACCUUGGUGUAGUUAGUGGACAUUUAUAAAUGUUUCUUGUUACACCUCACUUAUGUAGAAGUGUGGUUUACUCAAUUAUUAAACUAAUAUAUAUUGAGCUCAUACAUCAAAUUAAUAUUCCAUAGACAAAGAAGCCUAUGAAAAAGAAAGUUCUUUUUGUGAAGAAUGGUGCAGGUGGAACAUGCUGAAUUCAGGUACAUGCUCCAUUAAACUCAAAUUUUGAUCUUUUUUGGAAAGUUAUUAAAGGUUCGUAAUUUCAUAUGCUUCGGGAAUUUCUCAUUUAUUCCAUUGUUGUUCAUGUUCUUGCCUUUCGUUGCAUUUAUACUUAGUUAUGUGUCUGACAUGAUUUAAUUAUUUAUACUUUACAUUGUUAGCAUAGAUGCUAUAUAUAUCUAAUAUGAAACUGUUACUCUUAUAUGUGAUAAGUAAUCUAAGACUAUUCUUUUUUACUUAAAAAUAUAAAUUUCAUAAGAAUUUAUUAUGACUUUAAAAAUAUAAAUGUACUAAAUGGCUUAUGGCUCAGUGGUCAAGAACAAUAUACAUAAUAAACAUGAUUAUUCUUCUAUCUCUACUUAAUUUUGAAAUGUGUACCUCAAAACUCCACUCAUGCUUUUGUUCUUAUUUUAUAUUAACCAUUUUUAGUUGAAAUUAUAUGUAGAGACCUCUUUUAUAUUACCCAUUUAGAGUUGAACAUCUAUGUAGAGACUUCUUUUAUAUUAACCAUUUUGAGUUGAACAUUUAUGCAGGGACCUAUCUAAGUGGCUUAUUCUCAAUAAUUAUCAUAGUUUAAGCCUCUAAGAGACCUCUACUAAGUUCAACUUAUGUCAUAUUAUAUUGGUAUAUGAGUUUGUAGGACUAAUAGAACUCAAUUUUGCAAGUAGCCAUGAGGUGAACAUGUCAUGGUUGUAAAGUACUUUUUUAGACCUUGUUGUGAUAUUUGUAAACAAGUGGAUUUGAUUUAAAAUAUUUGCUAUUGAUGGAUCAUAAUAUA